AAUGAAUCAGUAUCAAUUUCUAAAAUUCUAAAAAUAAAAAAUUAAUACAUUUUCAAACAAUAACACGUUCAAAUUCCAGAUUGUAAAUCAUUCAUAAACAAUACAAAUUUCUAAGCAAUAAGCCAAUAACACAUCCACUAAUUUAAAUCCAUAAAUUUCAAUGUUUCAAAUAAAAAAUUAAAUCACUUCAACGAGCUUGUGAGAUGUGACGGUGGCGAACUGCGAACCCGAGGCUGCGACGGACAACGGUGGCGAAUCGGAUUGUUGUUUGGAGGUGCAAGAACCCGAGGUUGCGACGGUCGUGAACGAACCCGAGAGUACGAGUUGCGACGGAAGACGGUAGCGAGCAGCGAGCCCAAGCUUCUAAGUUCUGACGGUGGCGAAUCGCGAAGGCUGUUGGCUGCAAGAAGCUAAGAACCGAAGCUUGACUGCUUGACUGCGAAUCGCGAAGGCUGCUGGCAGCAAGAAGCUAAGAACCGAAAGCUGCAAGUUGCGAAUUGCGAUUAGGGUUUGUUCUUUUAGUUUGUAUUUAUAUUAAUCAAUAAAAUUAAUUAAAAAAUAAUAUUAAAAUAAAAUAUCCGGGUCCGAAUUGACUUAAACCAGGACCCGUACCCGAAUUCAUCCGGGUUAUUAAAAUCCAUUCCGAAUCCAAAUUUUUUUACUCUCCGGUACGGGUUCAACCCGGCCCGAAUUAUCCGAAUUCGUCCGGGUCCGAGUUAUUUUGCCAUUGCUAUUCCAUGUUCAACGAAUGUUAAUUAUUAUAAUAUGUUUGGGGGUGUAUUACCACGUGACCAACUAUGUUCAAACGGAAAAGCAAUCUUCGAUUCCUAUGCAGAGGCCUCAGGACAGAUUUUCAAUUAUGAGAAAUCUUCAAUAUUUUGCAGUGGAAAGCUCUCAGCGGAGCAAAUAUCAGCCAUGAAGAACAUUUUUCAAUUAAAGAUGGUGUCUAAAUAUGAAAAGUACUUGGGACUACCUUCUAUGAUUGGAAGAAAAAAGACGAGUUUCUUUAACGAGGUGAAGCCAAAAGUGCUGAGCAAGAUCUUAAAUUGGCAGCAUAAGUUUUUCUCAAGCGGAGGCAAAGAGGUGCUGAUAAAGGCUGUAGCCCAGGGCGUUCCGGCUUAUGCAAUGAGCGUUUUCAAAAUCCCAUCGACAUUAUGUGAGGACAUUCAGAAAGCAAUGGCAAAAUUCUGGUGGGGAAAUAAAAAAGAAAAGAAUGGGAUUCAUUGGGCAAGGUGGGAGAGAAUGAGUCAUGCCAAGCAUAGAGGAGGAUUGGGCUUUAGAGACAUCUCCAGCUUUAAUCAAGCAUUGGUAGCAAAACAAAGUUGGAGAAUUAUCCAAGAUUCGGAAUCAUUAAUGGCAAGAGUUCUCAAAGCAAGAUACUUCAAACAUGAGGGCUUUCUAAAUGCCAAAAUAGGUACCAAUCCAUCCUUUAUAUGGAGAAGUAUCCUAUGGGGCAGAAAAAUAAUCUUAAAAGGCACAAGAUGGAGAAUUGGUUCUGGGGAAGAAGUUCAAGUUUAUAACAGCAAUUGGCUGCCAAGACCAACAACCUUCAGACCAAUAUCACCAAGAACACUUGCUGCAGAUACUAAAGUGGCAGACUUGAUAGACCCCGAAAGAGAAUGGAAGAUGGACUUAAUUCGACAGCAUUUUGUUCAGGACGAUGCAGAUAUCAUUCAAAGGAUUCCCCUCCCAAGAAGCUCAGCAAGGGACGAGCUUUGUUGGCACUAUGAUAAGCUUGGGAGAUACUCAGUCAAAAGUGGCUACCAGAUAGCCUUAAAAGAAAAAUUUCAGAAUGUCCCAAGUAGCUCAAAACCGAAGCCAAGCCAAUGGAAUGCCAUAUGGAAGCUUGAUCUCCCUGACAAGUUGAAGAUUUUUAUGUGGAGGGCUGCAAAAAACUUACUUCCAACAGCAGAAAAUCUAUGGAAAAGGAAAGUGAUACCAAAUCCAACAUGUCAAAGAUGCAAUCAGGGAGUGGAAACUAGUUUUCAUGCUCUGGUAGAGUGUAAAGCUGCAAAAAAGAUUAGGCAACAUUCAUCGUUAGCAGCAGUGGAGAGGCCAUCCUCUCAUAGGGGGAGUAUGUUGGAUGUUUUUCUAGAUACAUCAAGGCUGCUGAGCAAAAAAGAGGCUGAGCUUCAGAUUGCUUAUUGGUGGGUUACAUGGUAUGCACGAAACCACUUCCUCUUCAAGAGGAAGAAGCUGGAUCCUUUAAUCUCAACUGCAAAAGCGGAAGCAGUGGUAGAAGCUUUCCGAAGAUACAAAAAGCCAGAGCACCAACAAAGGGAGAGCACAAAGGCAGAGGGAGCAAAGCAAUGGAAACCCCCACCCAAAAACUGGUACAAAGUAAAUGUGGAUGCUGCAAUUGACAAUCAAAGACAAAGAGUGGGAUUGGCAGUGGUUGUAAGGAAUGAUAAUGGAGACAUUGUGGCAGCAGCCAUCAAGCUUUCAACUUUCAAUGGAGAAGUAUCUUUUGCAGAAGCUGAAGCAAUUGAAUGGGGAAUGCAAGUGGCAAGAAGUGCAGGCAUAACCUCUGUUAUUUUUGAAUCUGAUUGUCAAGUGGCUGUUGACUUGGCAAACAACAGAAAGGGUAGCAAAACUGAGAUCUUUUAGGUGAUUUCGGAUAUCAAAAGCAGGAAAAAAGACUUCCAGGAAGUUAAAUUUCAACACAUCCCUAGGUCUGGUAAUGUUAAUGCCCAUACCUUGGCUAAGAUAGCCUUAAAAGGUGCAGAGUCUGUUGUAUGGCUGGGAAAUAUCCCAGCACAAAUUCUGUGUUUAUUUUCUUCUUAUUAAUGAAGUUUUUUCCCUUCUAAAAAAAAAAAACUAUGUUCAAACGAGAAUUUAUCCUUUUCGUAGGUGAGGAGCAAUGUGUCGUCUAGGAAUAGGAGUCUUCUGCUAGUCGACGAGGAGACCUUUUGCUGGGGCCAUGGUAUGAGCAGGUUCUCUGUUAAUCACCAAGGACAUUUUCUGUUGGGGCCAAGGUUGGCAGGCCCAGUCUACGGCAGUUGAUAGAACGUGUGCUACUCUCUGAGAAUCCAAAC
This 3035-nucleotide long non-coding RNA is filed under the name Citrus sinensis (sweet orange). RNAcentral's name for it is "long non-coding RNA (CSIN_LNC002571)". Lineage: Eukaryota; Viridiplantae; Streptophyta; Magnoliopsida; Sapindales; Rutaceae. The record is from RNAcentral.